Molecule: ribosomal RNA, 546 nt
Filed under: uncultured bacterium
Lineage: Bacteria
Description: bacterial SSU rRNA
Rfam family: Bacterial small subunit ribosomal RNA
Source: RNAcentral
CUUACACAUGCAAGUCGAGGGGUAACAGGGAGCUUGCUCCGCUGACGACCGGCGCACGGGUGCGUAACGCGUAUAGAAUCUACCUUACACUGAGGGAUAGCCUUUGGAAACGAAGAUUAAUACCUCAUAGUAUCAUUUUUUGGCAUCAUUAAAUGAUUAAAGGUUACGGUGUAAGAUGACUAUGCGUCCUAUUAGCUUGAUGGUAAGGUAACGGCUUACCAUGGCUACGAUAGGUAGGGGCCCUGAGAGGGGGAUCCCCCACACUGGUACUGAGACACGGACCAGACUCCUACGGGAGGCAGCAGUGAGGAAUAUUGGACAAUGGAGGCAACUCUGAUCCAGCCAUGCCGCGUGAAGGAUGACUGCCCUAUGGGUUGUAAACUUCUUUUAUACAGGAAGAAACGGUUCCACGUGUGGGACUUUGACGGUACUGUAUGAAUAAGCACCGGGCUAACUCCGUGCCAGCAGCCGCGGUAAUACGGAGGGUGCAAGCGUUAUCCGGAAUCAUUGGGUUUAAAGGGUCCGUAGGCGUACUAAUAAGUCAGA